GAUGAACGCUGGCGGCGUGCCUAAUACAUGCAAGUCGAGCGAACGGACGAGAAGCUUGCUUUUCUGAUGUUAGCGGCGGACGGGUGAGUAACACGUGGAUAACCUACCUAUAAGACUGGGAUAACUUCGGGAAACCGGAGCUAAUACCGGAUAAUAUUUUGAACCGCAUGGUUCAAUAGUGAAAGACGGUCUUGCUGUCACUUAUAGAUGGAUCCGCGCUGCAUUAGCUAGUUGGUAAGGUAACGGCUUACCAAGGCAACGAUGCUUAGCCGACCUGAGGGGUGGAUCGGCACCACUGGACCUGAGAAAGGGUCCAACCUCCAACGGGAGCAAGAAGUAGGGAAUCUUCCGCAAUGGGCGAAAGCCUAACGGAGCAACGCGGCGUGAGUGAUGAAGGUCUUCGGAUCGUAAAACUCUGUUAUUAGGGAAGAACAUAUGUGUAAGUAACGGUGCGCAUCUUGACGGUACCAAACCAGAAAGCCACGGCUAACUACGU
RNAcentral lists this ribosomal RNA (496 nucleotides) under uncultured bacterium. RNAcentral describes it as "partial 16S ribosomal RNA". It matches the Rfam family "Bacterial small subunit ribosomal RNA", at positions 28 to 506 of the family's 1533-position model. The record is from RNAcentral.